GGAGGAAAGUAGGGGAUCGCAAGACCUUGCGCUGAUUGAGCGGCCGAUAUCAGAUUAGCUAGUUGGUGAGGUAAAAGCUCACCAAGGCGACGAUCUGUAGCGGGUCUGAGAGGAUGAUCCGCCACACUGGAACUGAGACACGGUCCAGACUCCUACGGGAGGCAGCAGUGGGGAAUUUUGGACAAUGGGGGCAACCCUGAUCCAGCCAUGCCGCGUGAGUGAAGAAGGCCUUCGGGUUGUAAAGCUCUUUCAGCCGGGAAGAAAAUGCAUAGGUUAAUACCCUGUGCGGAUGACGGUACCGGAAUAAGAAGCACCGGCUAACUACGUGCCAGCAGCCGCGGUAAUACGUAGGGUGCGAGCGUUAAUCGGAAUUACUGGGCGUAAAGCGUGCGCAGGCGGUUUUGUAAGACAGGCGUGAAAUCCCCGGGCUUAACCUGGGAACUGCGUUGAAACUACAAAGCUAG
This 464-nucleotide ribosomal RNA is filed under the name uncultured bacterium. RNAcentral's name for it is "bacterial SSU rRNA". It matches the Rfam family "Bacterial small subunit ribosomal RNA", at positions 198 to 644 of the family's 1533-position model. The record is from RNAcentral.